GUGCUCACUUUGGCAGCAUGUAUACUAGAAUUGGAACAAUACAGAGAAGAUUCGCAUGGCCCCUGAGCAAGGAUGACACGCAAAUUAAUGAAGCAGUUCCAUUUCUA
Molecule: small nuclear RNA, 107 nt
Filed under: Saimiri boliviensis boliviensis (Bolivian squirrel monkey)
Lineage: Eukaryota; Metazoa; Chordata; Mammalia; Primates; Cebidae
Source: RNAcentral